UGUUUAUCUGGCUACAACAAUCAUAACCUCAAAAAGGGAAUUGGCCAUGUUCCCACAAAACAUUCUGGGAACGUGCUACACCAAACAUUCUAUGCGGUAAUGGAGGAUGAAUAACACAUUUGGAGAAGUGCAGGUUAAUAACACUUGGUGAACAAAUUUUUAUGGCAUAUAAAUCUGUAGAUGAUACCUGAAUUAUUUAGCUGUCAUAUUUUAAUUCAUUAAAUUUAAUUUUGUACUGAGAUUCACAGCAGAACUGAAGUACAGUUCCCAUAUACCUUGUAAUUGCACACCUCAUGAUCAACAUCCAGCCACCAGAAUUAGCCUUUUGUUAAACUUACGGACUUAACACAAGUACACAUACAUAAUUGCCACCCAAAGUCCAUGGUUUACCUUAGGGUUCAUUCGUGGUGGAACAUUCACCAUUGAGCUAUACAGAAGGUGCUCACUGCCCUAAAUGUUAUUUUUCCAGAAGUUAAAAAUGUUGGUAGGGUAUAUUUCUAAUAAAUGUCCUUUUUUUUCAAUCUUUAAACAGGCAGACCUGAAACCCUGGAGAUUUCCAGGCAUUUAUGAUAGCGGUCAUGGCAACUGGCUGACCUUUGAGAGGCAGCUGGAUGGAUACUCAUGGGAUAGAAGAUCAACUUUGAAUUUUAAUAAAUUUUUAUAAAC
Long non-coding RNA from Myotis myotis, 666 nucleotides. RefSeq lists it as uncharacterized. Lineage: Eukaryota; Metazoa; Chordata; Mammalia; Chiroptera; Vespertilionidae. The transcript is spliced from 2 exons. The record is from RefSeq and is a predicted model, not a curated record.